This is a non-coding RNA of Populus trichocarpa (black cottonwood), 117 nucleotides long. NCBI's taxonomy places the organism in Eukaryota, Viridiplantae, Streptophyta, Magnoliopsida, Malpighiales, Salicaceae. The record is from Rfam.
UCUUCUAUCUAGCACAAAUUUUCAUUUACAGAUGCACACUUAACUGCGUAUAAUAACUUGUUAUCUCAAGCCGACUACAUCACUUCUGUUACAUGUGCAUUACUACUCAUUUAAGAA